CCAACCAUCCGAGCUAUCCGACUUCUUGACCUAUGACCGUAACAAAUAAUAAACUAUAUUUUCAUCCAAAAAGAUUAAUUAGAAGAUAUUAUUUGGAUUCUAACUUUACUCCCAUAUGAACAUCUAUAAUCUAUCCAAUAUAUAGUAAAUAUGAGACUAAACAUACAUCCGCAUAGAUCCAAAUAAUAUCAAGGUUAAAUAGUACCAAAUCAUUCUUCAGUGAAAUAGUGAAUGGAGGCUUUAUCAAAGUGGCAAGAUCCUCGUCGCUAUAUGCUCGAAUAAAUUGAGAGAG
Molecule: long non-coding RNA, 292 nt
Filed under: Elaeis guineensis (African oil palm)
Lineage: Eukaryota; Viridiplantae; Streptophyta; Magnoliopsida; Arecales; Arecaceae
Description: long non-coding RNA (EGUI_LNC002944)
Source: RNAcentral